RNAcentral lists this ribosomal RNA (447 nucleotides) under uncultured organism. RNAcentral describes it as "partial 16S ribosomal RNA". It matches the Rfam family "Bacterial small subunit ribosomal RNA", at positions 333 to 797 of the family's 1533-position model. The record is from RNAcentral.
ACACUCCUACGGGAGGCAGCAGUGGGGAAUAUUGGACAAUGGGCGCAAGCCUGAUCCAGCCAUGCCGCGUGAGUGAUGAAGGCCCUAGGGUUGUAAAGCUCUUUCACCGGUGAAGAUAAUGACGGUAACCGGAGAAGAAGCCUCGGCUAACUUCGUGCCAGCAGCCGCGGUAAUACGAAGGGGGCUAGCGUUGUUCGGAUUUACUGGGCGUAAAGCGCACGUAGGCGGACUAUUAAGUCAGGGGUGAAAUCCCGGGGCUCAACCCCGGAACUGCCUUUGAUACUGGUAGUCUUGAGUUCGAGAGAGGUGAGUGGAAUUCCGAGUGUAGAGGUGAAAUUCGUAGAUAUUCGGAGGAACACCAGUGGCGAAGGCGGCUCACUGGCUCGAUACUGACGCUGAGGUGCGAAAGCGUGGGGAGCAAACAGGAUUAGAUACCCGUGUAGUCCC